Molecule: non-coding RNA, 631 nt
Organism: Cinara cedri
Lineage: Eukaryota; Metazoa; Arthropoda; Insecta; Hemiptera; Aphididae
Source: the annotation of a GenBank genome assembly
CCCAGAAAACUGAAACUUAUUAAGUGUAUAACUCUGACUUUAAUCCAUAGCCUUAAGUAGGGAAAUUAUUAAUCAUUAAACCUACUUUUCCGUUAUAUUAUGUAUAUUAGACAUUCAAAACUUGCCAAAUAAUAACAACUAGAGAGCAAAUAUAAUGGAGGAAUUGCCUCUGCGCUGGUAUCAUAUAGUCUUGUACUAUAGCCAAUCUUGUACGGUAAUAACGGCGUAGCUACUUUAUAUCUUACCAAAUAUAACUUUCUUUUGAGAACUUUAUUAAUUAUAAAUAAACAUAAACUUACUUCCUGUCCCAUUAUCAACUAGUUCACCUAUACAAAAUAAUUUAAAAAAAUACAGAGGAUUCCGCUUAAUGUGACCACCGGUUAAUUCGGGCAGCCACCUAAUAUGGGCAUAAUAAUCUGAUUACGGUUCUAAUGUAUACGAAACCCAUUUGUGAAACCCAUUUAAAUAGGCAGCUGCCUUAUAUAGGGAAAUAUAACUGGUCCCAACGUUAAGUCGAAUCCACUGCAUUUAUAGUUCAAAUAAUUUACUCUUAUUUAAAAUAUAUAUAUAUUAUAAAUCAUUCAUUAUUCAAUUUAAAAAAAAAUAUAUAUUAAUAAUACAUAAAUUACUU